This 565-nucleotide ribosomal RNA is filed under the name uncultured archaeon. Its description in RNAcentral is "bacterial SSU rRNA". It matches the Rfam family "Archaeal small subunit ribosomal RNA", at positions 317 to 889 of the family's 1478-position model. The record is from RNAcentral.
GUGAUUCGGGGUGCAGCAGGCGCGAAAACUUUGCAAUAAGCGAAAGCUUGACAGGGCUAUCCCGAGUGCCAUCCGCUGAGGAAGGCUUUUACCCAGUCUAGAACGCUGGGGGAAUAAGGAGAGGGCAAGUCUGGUGUCAGCCGCCGCGGUAAUACCAGCUCUUCGAGUGGUGUGGAUGUUUAUUGGGCCUAAAGCAUCCGUAGCUGGCUAAGUUAGUCCCUUGUUAAAUCCACCGAAUUAAUCGUUGGAUUGCGGGGGAUACUGCUUGGCUAGGGGACGAGAGAGGCAGACGGUAUUUUCGGGGUAGGGGUGAAAUCCUAUAAUCCCGGGAAGACCACCAGUGGCGAAGGCUGUCUGCUAGAACGCGCCCGACGGUGAGGGAUGAAAGCUGGGGGAGCGAACCGGAUUAGAUACCCGGGUAGUCCCAGCUGUAAACGAUGCAGGCUAGGUGUUUGGACGGCCACGUGCCGUUCUAGUGCCGCAGGGAAGCUGUUAAGCCUGCCGCCUGGGGAGUACGAUCGCAAGAUUGAAACUUAAAGGAAUUGGCGGGGGAGCACAAUCGAAU